CAUCUUUUGUCUGGAAAUUCCGGAAGCUGCCGUGGUCCCCACGCUGCUGCUCAGAUCAUGUGGUUGGAUUGUACGUCCUUGAAGCUUAUAAGUAGAGAGUUUUGGGAAGGAGAAUCUAGAGCCAAGCCACAACAGUUCUCUCCUUAGUCCACUCCAUUCUCUUUUCUCCCAGCUAUGCUGCCACAGUGUGCUAUGGGUUUACAAGAGCAACAAAAGAUGAAUAAAUCUCUGUGGCUGUCCAGUAUGGGAAUCGAAAUCCUUGACUUUGGCAUUACAAGGCUGUGCUCUAACCAAGUGAGAUAACUGGUCAGCCCCAUUUUCACUUUCAUGUAUUAAAAAUAUUUUUAAUUUUC
Molecule: long non-coding RNA, 353 nt
Organism: Galeopterus variegatus (Sunda flying lemur)
Lineage: Eukaryota; Metazoa; Chordata; Mammalia; Dermoptera; Cynocephalidae
Exons: 3
Source: RefSeq, a predicted model, not a curated record